CACAGGUUUGGUCCCAGCCUUCCUAUUA
RNAcentral lists this ribosomal RNA (28 nucleotides) under Cervus canadensis songaricus (Tian Shan wapiti). RNAcentral describes it as "partial 12S ribosomal RNA". Lineage: Eukaryota; Metazoa; Chordata; Mammalia; Artiodactyla; Cervidae. The record is from RNAcentral.